CCCUUAGAUGUUCUGGGCCGCACGCGCGCUACACUGAUGCAUUCAACGAGUUUCUUCCUGGUCCGAGAGGAAUGGGUAACCUUUUGAAAGUGCAUCGUGAUAGGGAUAUACUAUUGCAAUUAUUGGUCUUCAACGAGGAAUUCCUAGUAGACGUAGUUCAUCAGACUGCAUCGAUUACGUCCCUGCCCUUUGUACACACCGCCCGUCGCUCCUACCGAUUGAAUGCUCAGGUGAGCCAUUCGGACUUUCAUCAUGCUGGUUUCCAGUUUUGAUGAAGGAAAGUCUUGCGAACCUUAUCAUUUAGAGGAAGGAGAAGUCGUAACA
Molecule: ribosomal RNA, 324 nt
Filed under: uncultured eukaryote
Lineage: Eukaryota
Description: partial 18S ribosomal RNA
Rfam family: Eukaryotic small subunit ribosomal RNA
Source: RNAcentral